AGUGAACGCUGGCGGUAGGCCUAACACGUGCCAGUCGAACGGCAGCACAGUAAGAGCUUGCUCUUACGGGUGGCGAGUGGCGGACGGGUGAGGAAUACAUCGGAAUCUACUUUUUCGUGGGGGAUAACGUAGGGAAACUUACGCUAAUACCGCAUACGACCUACGGGUGAAAGCAGGGGAUCUUCGGACCUUGCGCGAUUGAAUGAGCCGAUGUCGGAUUAGCUAGUUGGCGGGGUAAAGGCCCACCAAGGCGACGAUCCGUAGCUGGUCUGAGGGGAUGAUCAGCCACACUGGAACUGAGACACGGUCCAGACUCCUACGGGAGGCAGCAGUGGGGAAUAUUGGACAAUGGGCGCAAGCCUGAUCCAGCCAUACCGCGUGGGUGAAGAAGGCCUUCGGGUUGUAAAGCCCUUUUGUUGGGAAAGAAAAGCAGCAGGUUAAUACCCCGCUGUUCUGACGGUACCCAAAGAAUAAGCACCGGCUAACUUCGUG
RNAcentral lists this ribosomal RNA (492 nucleotides) under uncultured bacterium. RNAcentral describes it as "partial 16S ribosomal RNA". It matches the Rfam family "Bacterial small subunit ribosomal RNA", at positions 29 to 507 of the family's 1533-position model. The record is from RNAcentral.